Long non-coding RNA from Gasterosteus aculeatus aculeatus (three-spined stickleback), 1296 nucleotides. The record is from Ensembl. NCBI's taxonomy places the organism in Eukaryota, Metazoa, Chordata, Actinopteri, Perciformes, Gasterosteidae.
CUUUUAGAACAACUAUGGCAGCAGCAGCCUUAUCAAGAAGCAAAGGACGCCUGUUCUUCCUCCUCAGUCUGCUGUGUCUGGUUGGCCUCGCAAGUUUACGCAAAGACGACAUGAACCUGGUGAGCAAACUGCUGCUUAACUUCCCUUUGCUGUGAAAACAUAUUCUGCAGUUAUUUUGAGUCAACACAAGCAAACCUACUGUUGAAUUGUUCUUACUUUUUUACAUCUGUACUCGCAGAUAUGCUGGAGUUGUCAUGUUUAGACCCUUAUUUCCACCAAAUAACGACAUGUUGAUUCUCACACUCGAUUUGCAGGACAAUUCCAAAGUACUAAUUCAGAAAACGGAAGAAAAGCUAAACCAGUUGAAGGCACAAAAGGACUUCUUAUCAACGCUCAUGAGUGAAACAAAGACCUUUACUGAACAGAGGAUGGCCGCUUUGGAGAAGUUUUUGUCAGAAGAAUCUGCUGACGAUGAUCUACCACUGAAGAACCUUUUUCAGAGCUCGAUGCACUCAUUUGACUUAGCCAAGACUUUUUUCGACAAGGAGAAUGAGGUGUCUGAUGCAAAAAUAACCAACAUGAAACUAGAUCUGGAAAAGACUAAGCGACUUGUCCAAGCCCUUGAGGAGUACCACUCUGAAUUGUAAUGUUUAAGUCAGUCAAUGUCUCUAUUGUAUCUCUGAUAAUGAAUAUGUUGUAGUCUUUGGUCUUUCUUUUCUAUUGUGUUUCUAUGCAUUGGCGUUUAAAUCAUGAAUUCCUUUUUCCUUCGUUAUCAUACAAUUUGUGAAGCAGAGACAAUGUUAAUAAUAAAUCAAACAAAAUAAACACUGACAUGACAACAAUUAAACCAAAUGAUUUGUUUGGGCUUUUCUUUCAUUUGUAUUCUUAACCAAUAUUUUCUUUCAAUCAUUUUAUUUUAUCAUUUGAAAUAGGCUGCAUACUUAUUGGUAAAACUUUAAAAAUGUUUUGUCUUAGUCACAGUUGUUCAAGCUAUAUUAUCGUAGAAGGCCAUAGAGCCUGUGACCUCCCAGCAGAGAAGCCUGCAUAAGUAACUGGUGUGUGUUAUCUCAACUUGGCAGAGAGGGAGACGUUGGAGAAGCCUUGAUGCGUAUGAAACGUGUAUAUGUCAAACAUUUAGAGAAUAAGCAUAACUUGUGUAUUAGUAAUUUCCACUAUUUAAUACGGAGGAUGAGACAUAUUUCUCCGAGCAGCAACUUGAUGCAGGACUUGUACGUGUUUCAACUCUGUCUCCUACUUGCAAUGUUUAUUAUUUAGUAAAUGUCCUGUUUAGUGAUU